CUGCCGCCGCCGCGCAAGACUGCUGACAGACAUUCUCAAGGAUGACAGCAAUUCUAACUCUGAAUUCGUGCAAUCUUUUCAUGGGAACCUGUGCGAUGAUGAUGCCUUGAAAGUCAUCAAGUUGGGGAUUCCUGGUUGAUUUUGUUGAAGCCAUUAUGGAGGUAGUUCCAUCCAAUUUGAUCACAUCUCAGGAUAAAGACUGCAAUUUUGUAACUUUUAAUUUGAUUCCAUAUUCCAGACAGCUUAUACUGUCUAAAGUCUUCGAUAUUUCUUUAUGCCUAUGCAGAUCUUGCAUUUUUUUAUAUUAAAAGCAAAGUUUUUGAAAGAAGUUAGUUGCUAUUUAAAAACAUUGCAACUUUUUCAUGUGAGGUUGUUAGAAAAUACUACGUGAUUUCACAUAAUUUUGUGCCCAACAAACUCAAGGUUACCAUGUGAAAUUCUUAGUGUUUGUUUGGCUUUUGUUCUUGUUUUCUGUUUCUGCUUUCAGUUUUUAGGACUCUAGGAAGAAGUGGUAAAACAUGAAACGAAAAUAGAAAACACCAUCUUGAUAAAUAGUGUAUAGUUUCUGCUGAGUGAGUGGUGAAAAUGUUGCUUGACAAAUGGUUUUUAUCCCAAACUGAAAAGCUACUUGUUCAUCAUGCAUGAUCUUGUUAACUAAAAUAAAUAUUGCUAAUUGUGUUCUCUCCGUUCUCCUACUUAUAACUACAGGAUAAGCCAGCUUUCAUAUUCUGUGUCGAAGACAGAGCACUCUUUUUUUUGAAGAGCAACUUUUUUAUUGUUUUGGUAAACUUAUCCAGGAUUCAAGAGCCGCGUUAAGUUCUUUAGUAUUCUUGAUCCAACAAGACCCUGUAAUUAUGUUUCUGAAAUCUCUGAUGCUGGAUUUCUUGGUCCUCUUUUCAAGGUUACCAUGGAAGAACAUCCAACUGAAGCUUUCACAAACACAUCAGCGGAUAAGUGUUGGGAAACAAUUCUUGACAGACUAAA
Long non-coding RNA from Arachis duranensis, 984 nucleotides. RefSeq lists it as uncharacterized. Lineage: Eukaryota; Viridiplantae; Streptophyta; Magnoliopsida; Fabales; Fabaceae. The record is from RefSeq and is a predicted model, not a curated record. The transcript has 3 exons.